UACGGAGGGUGCAAGCGUUAUCCGGAUUCACUGGGUUUAAAGGGUGCGUAGGCGGGCAGGUAAGUCAGUGGUGAAAUCUUUGGGCUUAACCCGAAAACUGCCAUUGAUACUAUCUGUCUUGAAUAUUGUGGAGGUUAGCGGAAUAUGUCAUGUAGCGGUGAAAUGCUUAGAUAUGACAUAGAACACCUAUUGCGAAGGCAGCUAACUAAGCAUAUAUUGACGCUGAGGCACGAAAGCGUGGGGAUCAAACAGG
Molecule: ribosomal RNA, 253 nt
Filed under: uncultured bacterium
Lineage: Bacteria
Description: partial 16S ribosomal RNA
Rfam family: Bacterial small subunit ribosomal RNA
Source: RNAcentral